Molecule: long non-coding RNA, 662 nt
Filed under: Struthio camelus australis
Lineage: Eukaryota; Metazoa; Chordata; Aves; Struthioniformes; Struthionidae
Description: lncRNA (ENSSCUG00000004066.1)
Source: RNAcentral
AAUAACCUGCCGCGUUCGCUACCGGCCAUGUCUUUCGCUAGGGGUUUUGUUCCGUUUUGCUCUGCCCGCUGCUGUUAAAGUGUUAUAGACAUUGUCUUAUUUCCCACGAUUUUUUAUUCUCCGACCUGGCCUCCCCGCACUAUUGCAGAAAUGCUAGUGCUAUACCAACGGACGGCGUAGGACUUCAGAUGGGGAUGAGCGGCACAAUCUCCAGGGGCUUCCGAGAUGUCUUGGGUGUUGCGGCCUGUGCUCCUGUAAAAAGGCAGUGGAAUUGCUUUCUUGCUCUCACUGGCCGGCCGGAAGGAUUCAACAAGCUUUACUCUGAAAUGAAUACACGAUUUUAACACUGGCGUCCACGAAGACUCAACAAAAGACACCUUCAUUACUUCGGAAGGCCUCCGGGUCAGCUACCCCAUUACAGCUCCAGGAGGAGAGGACUGCUUUUGAACGACUCGCGCCUGCUGCGUCGCAUCUGGAGGCAGAGACUCUGCGCGGAGCCGAGCGGUGCCGCCGGGAGAGCGCGUGGGACGGGAGCCGCCGUUGCAGCCACUUGUGCAACGUGGCUGAGCUACAGCUGGCGGGCCAGAGCCUGACACGCCGCCGGUUGGUGACACUUCCCUCCCGUUGCCCUGGGCUGCCGGUCUCCGUUCCUGAGGGAAGCG